RNAcentral lists this ribosomal RNA (499 nucleotides) under uncultured bacterium. RNAcentral describes it as "partial 16S ribosomal RNA". It matches the Rfam family "Bacterial small subunit ribosomal RNA", at positions 899 to 1397 of the family's 1533-position model. The record is from RNAcentral.
ACUCAAAGGAAUAGACGGGGGCCCGCACAAGCGGUGGAUCAUGUGGUUUAAUUCGAAGCAACGCGCAAAACCUUACCUAGGUUUGACAUCCUCUGACCGCUGUAGAAAUACAGUUUUUGUAGCAAUACAACAGAGAGACAGGUGCUGCAUGGCUGUCGUCAGCUCGUGUGGUGACAUGUUGGGUUAAGUCCCGCAACGAGCGCAACCCUUGCCUUUAGUUGCCAGCAUUAAGUUGGGCACUCUAGAGGGACUGCCGUGGUUAACACGGAGGAAGGUGGGGAUGACGUCAAGUCCUCAUGGCCUUUAUAUCUAGGGCGACACACGUGAUACAAUGGUUGGUACAGAGGGAAGCGAACUCGCAAGAGGGAGCCAAUCUCAAAAAGCCAAUCUCAGUUCGGAUUGAAGUCUGCAACUCGACUUCAUGAAGUUGGAAUCGCUAGUAAUCGCGGAUCAGCACGCCGCGGUGAAUACGUUCCCGGGCCUUGUACACACCGCCCGU